This 21-nucleotide unclassified non-coding RNA is filed under the name Influenza B virus (B/Acre/117700/2012). RNAcentral describes it as "3' vRNA from Influenza B virus (B/Acre/117700/2012) (PDB 8BDR, chain R)". The record is from RNAcentral. Lineage: Riboviria; Orthornavirae; Negarnaviricota; Insthoviricetes; Articulavirales; Orthomyxoviridae.
UAUACAACUGAUGAGGCUAUU